Molecule: ribosomal RNA, 429 nt
Filed under: Bacillota bacterium
Lineage: Bacteria; Bacillati; Bacillota
Description: Firmicutes bacterium partial 16S ribosomal RNA
Rfam family: Bacterial small subunit ribosomal RNA
Source: RNAcentral
UGGGGAAUUUUGGACAAUGGGCGAAAGCCUGAUCCAGCAAUGCCGCGUGUGUGAAGAAGGCCUUCGGGUUGUAAAGCACUUUUGUCCGGAAAGAAAUGGCUCUGGUUAAUACCUGGGGUCGAUGACGGUACCGGAAGAAUAAGGACCGGCUAACUACGUGCCAGCAGCCGCGGUAAUACGUAGGGUCCAAGCGUUAAUCGGAAUUACUGGGCGUAAAGCGUGCGCAGGCGGUUGUGCAAGACCGAUGUGAAAUCCCCGAGCUUAACUUGGGAAUUGCAUUGACGACUGCACGGCUAGAGUGUGUCAGAGGGGGGUAGAAUUCCACGUGUAGCAGUGAAAUGCGUAGAGAUGUGGAGGAAUACCGAUGGCGAAGACAGCCCCCUGGGAUAACACUGACGCUCAUGCACGAAAGCGUGGGGAGCAAACAGG